AUAAGGAGGAAGUAUCAAAUACUUAAUCAAAUGGAUACGAUGUUAGAUGUUACUGGUUGAGCUCCAGCACUGGGACUGACCGACCAGACCAAAGCUGAGUCACUCAAGGGCUGGGACCAGGGCUGGCCUGAAAAUAUGCCAAAUCUGGUAUCUCUCCCAAUACUGAACUUUAACCCUGAGCAAAGUCUUGUUGAGUACGCAUGGUUGUCAGUGACAAACUAGAUACAGAGGGACUGGACUAGCCAAUGCCACCCAAAUAGAGAGUGUGGCGAGCGAACUCCAGUCUAGGUCCAAGUGGCCCCUAGCGCGAUCUGCCAGGUGGGGGUGGAGAGCUGCUGCGGGCAUACAGAUGAUCUGUGCAGGGCCAUAUUAUUUCUUCUUUUCUGUCUUCUUAGAAGGCCUCGAACCCCUUUUAACAUCAAGAUUCUCCUGGCUGGAGUGGAAAAGUCUGUGCGUUUUCGAGUAGGAGCUUUUGCCCGAGUUUGGGUGACUUUCAAGAGCCAAAGUUAACUGAGGCUAAGAAUAGAUUAGCUCCUUGCUCUCUGUGGAGCUAUGA
Molecule: long non-coding RNA, 556 nt
Filed under: Mus spretus (western wild mouse)
Lineage: Eukaryota; Metazoa; Chordata; Mammalia; Rodentia; Muridae
Description: RIKEN cDNA D530033B14 gene (ENSMSPG00010005653.1)
Source: RNAcentral